Nerophis lumbriciformis (worm pipefish) is the source of this 84-nucleotide non-coding RNA. Lineage: Eukaryota; Metazoa; Chordata; Actinopteri; Syngnathiformes; Syngnathidae. The record is from RefSeq and is a predicted model, not a curated record.
UGGCUUUGGUGAUGAUGACGACAAAUAUCUUUCUCAAGAAACAAAAUAUGUAUGUUUUCAGUCACUACCUCAUCUGAAUGGUCA